UACGUAGGUGGCAAGCGAUACUCGGAAUCACUAGGCGUAAAGCGCAGGUAGGCGGUUUGGUAAGUCUUUUGUGAAAGCUCCCGGCUUAACUGGGAGUGGUCAAGGGAAACUACCGGACUAGAGUGUGGUAGGGGAUACUGGAAUUCCUGGUGUAGCGGUGAAAUGCGUAGAUAUCAGGAGGAAUACCUAUGGCGAAAGCAGGUAUCUGGGCCAUCACUGACGCUGAGCUGCGAAAGCUAGGGGAGCAAACAGG
Molecule: ribosomal RNA, 253 nt
Filed under: uncultured bacterium
Lineage: Bacteria
Description: partial 16S ribosomal RNA
Rfam family: Bacterial small subunit ribosomal RNA
Source: RNAcentral